CUUCAGCGACAGAUAUGGACGAAAUAUGAACUAUAAACGCAAGCGGGGAACGCUAUUCCUAUCAUGCGUUUAUCAUAACGAUAUAUAAGCUUAUGUUGGUUAUUACUCUCUCAUGCGUACAUAACAAUAGGUUUCGUUGGGUUAGAUAUGCGCGUUGCUUGAUCUAUUGACAAGUAAGUUUCAAUUCAUCGCAAAUACUACCGAUCGAUAGGUCUUACUACAUAGAAGUUACUGCAUUUGAAGAUUUUAGGGCUGACUGUAACUCUACUCUAAAAUCCACGUACCGCAAUGCCGUUCCACAAUGUCUUUCCGUUUCGAGAGCUUCAGACUUCUUAACUAACAGGAAAAUUGUGAGACCUCGCUGACGGAUAGCUCUACGGUUAGCUUCAGACAACGGAAUAUUAAGCACGACCAUUCGUGCUUUCCUAAUUUCGAACAAUAAAAAACGGAGUCCACGGUAAGACCUUUAAUCGCGCUUGAACACUCACGUGAGUUUUAGAAAAACGGUGACUAUACUCUACAAUCCGCGUUUCCGGGGUAACACAAAUAAUCAGACGGUUUAAUCGCGCCCGUGAACACCCAUUCCUGUGUCCAUUGACACGCGCAUGGGUAUUCUCCUAUUCUUCUCGUAUUCUCGCGUAAAAAUCGAUGAUGAACCGAGCCAUUCAACGAUACAUUGGACUCAUCCGACCGCAGAUGAAUUUAUUCCUCGAUGAUCCAGACUGGAGAAGAAGAAGAGAAGGAGAAAAUAAGAGAAAGACAAAAAAGAAAGACGGAAAGUGCGCGCACGUAACAACGAUGGAAUUCGGAAUGAGAGGUGGAAAUAUUAAAUAUCGCUCGAUGAUCCCUCGAUGAUCCCUGAAAAAGAAGAGGAGAAAAAAAGAAAUAUGAGAUAGAAAAGAGCCGGAGAAUGAAAAGAAAAGAGAGCCGAAAAAAGAAAAGGAGAGAGAACGAGGUGGACAUAUUGAAUCGCUCUACCCAAUCAAAAUCGGAGUAUCAAAAUCGAGCACAAUUUUCCUCUCUGAAAGGAGUCUCAUGCAAGGGUUCACACCGAAGAGCCCUUCCCAAGGGUCACAGUCGAGAACUUUACACAUGCUGAGACAGCAGCCCGCACAAAGGCUUACACCUAUGGGCCUAAUCCAUGGGUACCAUCCGAGACUUAUAAAUAAUAAUAAAAGUAAAUGAGAAUAAAUAGGAAUUACUGUGAAUAAACGUGCGAUAAAACAGUUUUCUAUGGGUUUCUUUAAGAAAUUAUUUUAGAAUUUUACUAUAUUUAAUCAUUUAUCUAUUGAAGUAUUAUUAGCAAUAUAAAAUGUAAGUACUUUAACAUAUAGUCAUAAUUAGAAUUAGAAAAAAAGAUUUUGGAAAAGCAUUGAAAUAUGCACCAAUACGCUCAGUAAUACUUGCAUCCCAUAAGAUUUCGAUAUAUUACAAGUACUACCAACCCAGGUCUCACCACGUUGCUGCAUCUGAAAACCCAUUUAUGACCUCCCGUAAAAAAAUCAAAGGUGUAUUUUCGAAGUUAUCAAUAUUAGAUCGAUAGUAUAUGUAUUAAUCGAUAGUAUAUGAUAGUACAUGUAUAUCUUUAUAAUGUAGAUCUUUAUAAUGUUACUAAGAAUGUCCUGUCGUUUAAAUGUUAGUAAAAUAAUCUUAAUUAUUAAUUAUUCGCGAUAUCGAACUAGCUGAAAAGAAAUAA
This is a long non-coding RNA of Vespa mandarinia (Asian giant hornet), 1696 nucleotides long. The record is from RefSeq and is a predicted model, not a curated record. Lineage: Eukaryota; Metazoa; Arthropoda; Insecta; Hymenoptera; Vespidae.